UACGGAGGGUGCUAGCGUUGUUCGGAAUCACUGGGCGUAAAGGGCGUGUAGGCGGUCUGUUAAGUCUGAUGUGAAAUCCCCUCGCUUAACGAGGGAACUGCGUCGGAUACUGGCAGACUCGAGUACCGGAGAGGAAGGUGGAAUUCCCGGUGUAGCGGUGAAAUGCGCAGAUAUCGGGAGGAACACCGGUGGCGAAGGCGGUUCUCUGGGCCUUACCUGACGCUGAGGAGCGAAAGCGUGGGGAGCGAACAGG
Molecule: ribosomal RNA, 253 nt
Filed under: uncultured bacterium
Lineage: Bacteria
Description: partial 16S ribosomal RNA
Rfam family: Bacterial small subunit ribosomal RNA
Source: RNAcentral